RNAcentral lists this ribosomal RNA (431 nucleotides) under uncultured bacterium. Its description in RNAcentral is "partial 16S ribosomal RNA". It matches the Rfam family "Bacterial small subunit ribosomal RNA", at positions 29 to 507 of the family's 1533-position model. The record is from RNAcentral.
AACGAACGCUGGCGGCAGGCUUAACACAUGCAAGUCGAGCGCCCCGCAAGGGGAGCGGCAGACGGGUGAGUAACGCGUGGGAACGUACCUUUUGGUUCGGAACAACUCCGGGAAACUGGAGCUAAUACCGGAUAAGCCCUAACGGGGAAAGAUUUAUCGCCGAAAGAUCGGCCCGCGUCUGAUUAGCUAGUUGGUGAGGUAACGGCUCACCAAGGCGACGAUCAGUAGCUGGUCUGAGAGGAUGAUCAGCCACACUGGGACUGAGACACGGCCCAGACUCCUACGGGAGGCAGCAGUGGGGAAUAUUGGAAAAUGGGCGCAAGCCUGAUCCAGCCAUUCCGCGUGAGUGAUGAAGGCCUUAGGGUUGUAAAGCCUUUUUGUCCGGGAAGAUAAUGACUGUACCGGAAGAAUAAGCCCCGGCUAACUUCGUG